This is a non-coding RNA of Danio rerio (zebrafish), 72 nucleotides long. The record is from Rfam. Lineage: Eukaryota; Metazoa; Chordata; Actinopteri; Cypriniformes; Danionidae.
GCCGUGAUCGUAUAGUGGUUAGUACUCUGUGUUGUGGCCGCAGCAUCCCCGGUUCGAAUCCAGGUCACGGCA